GCGUGUGUAGCCCAGUGGUGGUGUGUGUGUGCGUGAAGGCACACGUGGUGGGUUCGAACCCCACCAUGCCCU
Molecule: transfer RNA, 72 nt
Filed under: Hordeum vulgare
Lineage: Eukaryota; Viridiplantae; Streptophyta; Magnoliopsida; Poales; Poaceae
Description: tRNA-Ser
Source: RNAcentral